CUCUGUUGUAAGGUAGAAACUGAGAGUUCACAUGAUGGCCUUUUCUCAGAUUCUGAAUCUGAUGUGUACAGAUGAACUCAGGAGUCUGCUGGAGUUGCCAGGGAACUUGAGCUUGAACUGGAGACCAAAAACACAAAGAAAAUCAGUCACAGCAAGCCAGUCAAACCAGUCCUGAUGAAUGAGGAAUGAACAUGGUCUUCUUAUGCCCAAAUAGAAAAGGCAGAUUUCCACUGGAGGAUGAAGCCAGCUGAUGAAGAGAUUAAUUCAAUGGCCAUCAGGUAUCUGCUGUGAAGACUGCAUUCACGGACGGCUCUACUGUGACGGCUCAGAUGUUACGACGCAUAAAAGUAAACUUCACAACUGAACAACAAGAGUUGUGGAGGGAUUCAUACCUCCAACAAGAAUCAAUGGACAUCUACAUCAGGUGGUGUGUGAGGAAAGCACAGAGGACCAUCAGAGACUCCAGCCAACUGCAUGGAUCGCUCUCAUUGUUACCAUCAGGCAGAAGUUAUUGCAGAACCUACACCAGCAGACUGUGAGACAAGUUCUUUCCACAGACAAUCAGACUGAACUGAACUCAUACCAGUAACACCACACACAGCACAUCAACCUCAUGUACUGCCCUCUAACAGUUACACUGUCUGGACUCUGACUCACUAUUAUUCUGCACCCUGACAUUCUGUUUGCACUAAUUCAUACCGUACUGCACUGUCAUUAUUGUUUAUCAUUGUUUUCAUUUUGUGCUCACUGUAUAGCGUAAUAUUUACCAUAUAUUGUGCUCUGCAUGUACUGAGUCCCUUAUAUAUACUGUAUAUGUAUAUGUAUAUGUGUGUGUGUUGCAUAUAUUUAAUAUUUUUCAUCCAUACUGUAAUGCUGCAGUUUGCACAAAAUAAUUUCACCUGUACACUUGUGAUUAUGGUAUUGUGACAAUAAAGUGAUUUGAUUUGAACUGGUCAUUUCUUUUGUUCAUCACUUGUACUGUAGUGUGCUGGAUAACAACUGCAAAUUGUUUAUGACAUGGAAGAAGUUUAUGGAUAAACAAAUAAUAAGAAGAAAACCAGGAGAGCUCAGAUGAUGAGCAGGAAACUGAAUGUGAUUCCAUGAUGCUCAAGAAAUUUGACCAUAACCCAUUUUUAUUUCUC
Molecule: long non-coding RNA, 1142 nt
Organism: Labeo rohita (rohu)
Lineage: Eukaryota; Metazoa; Chordata; Actinopteri; Cypriniformes; Cyprinidae
Exons: 4
Source: RefSeq, a predicted model, not a curated record